RNAcentral lists this ribosomal RNA (512 nucleotides) under Dematochroma sp. 'Thasycles' JGZ07-2021. Its description in RNAcentral is "partial 12S ribosomal RNA". The record is from RNAcentral. Lineage: Eukaryota; Metazoa; Arthropoda; Insecta; Coleoptera; Chrysomelidae.
UGCGGUUAAACAAAUAAUGAUACUAUUUUUAUUUGGUUUUUAAUUUUUAGUUAAUAAGAAUUAAUUUUUAUUUAAUUUAAUAUUGGGUGAAAUCCUAUUUUUUUUUAAUUAAAUUUUUGAUUAUGAGGUUAAGAAAUCUAGAUUUUAAACUGGGAUUAGAUACCCCAUUAUUCUAGAUGUUGAUGAUUAAACCUGAUAAAUAUUAGUUAUGUUCUUUAAAAUCAAAAAAUUUGGCGGUUUUUUAUUCCAAUCAGGGGAAUCUGUCCUGUAAUCGAUAAUCCACGAUUAAUAAAACUUUUAUUUUGCUUGUAUAUCGUUGUUGUUAAUUAUUUUUGGAAAUAUAUAAUUAGAAUAUAAAACUAUAUAAGAUAUCAGAUCAAGGUGCAGCUUAUAGAAGUAGAGAUGGAUUACAAUAAAUUUAUUUAAGGAUAAAUUUUAGCAUUAUUAUUUAGAAUUUGGAUUUGAAUGUAAUUUUAUUUAUUAAUUGAAAUGAAUUAGGCUCUAGAAUGUGU